AUGAAGCAAAUUAGGCACUACAUAAUAACAAACUGCGAGGAAUCCAACUCAUGGACAGAUGAGCAUCUGGAUGAGCUUAUAAGGGCUGGUGCUCAUGGUGUUCAGAAACGGCACAGAGACGAGUUUGUAGAUUGGUUCGAGAGGCGUAUCCAGCCACUUCACAAAGAAGGGAAAGUCAAUGGUCUUUUGUAUGCCCUAUCUAGAGGACCUGACCCUCGAGCUCGUGUUUAUAACCGCACCUUUAUCAAUGGGUUUUUCUUUAGAAAUGAUAGUGUAGAAAGAGAUUUGAAUACCCAAAGUGGUGUUGUUGUUAGGGGUGAUGCUCGAUCUGGCAACCUUGAUUGGUUUGGUGUGAUCAAGAAAAUUAUUUGUGUAGAUUUUCCCUCGGAAAAGGAGGUAGUGCUAUUUCAAUGUGACUGGUUUGACGUGCCCUCUGCCAAUAAAAAUCAAAGCACGGGCUACAAGAAGGAUGAUUAUGGCUAUAUCGAUGUAGAUACUACCUGA
RNAcentral lists this ribosomal RNA (504 nucleotides) under Triticum aestivum (bread wheat). RNAcentral describes it as "partial small subunit ribosomal RNA". The record is from RNAcentral. Lineage: Eukaryota; Viridiplantae; Streptophyta; Magnoliopsida; Poales; Poaceae.